ACAUCGCAAUUUACCAUCGAUUCCACAACCAAUUCCGACGAAUGUUGAAUAUUUAGCUCUUUGGGGCAACAGGAUUUCAAGCAUCAAUGAAGGAGCAUUCACGGGGCUUUCAAAUUUAAAGGGAUUAGAUCUGCAAUGGAACAACAUUGCAACCAUCAAGAAGGUACAUUCACGGGGCAUUCGAAUUUAAAG
Molecule: long non-coding RNA, 192 nt
Organism: Octopus sinensis (East Asian common octopus)
Lineage: Eukaryota; Metazoa; Mollusca; Cephalopoda; Octopoda; Octopodidae
Exons: 3
Source: RefSeq, a predicted model, not a curated record